GAUGAACGCUGGCGGCGUGCCUAAUACAUGCAAGUCGAGCGAACAGACGCGGCGCUUGCUCCUCUGACGUUAGCGGCGGACGGGUGAGUAACACGUGGAUAACCUACUUAUAAGACUGGGAUAACUUCGGGAAUCCGGCGCUAAUACCGGAUAAUAUAUUGCACCGCAUGGUUCAAUAGUGAAAGUCGGUUUUGCUGUCUCUUAUAGAUGGAUCCGCGCCGCAUUAGCUAGUUGGUAAGGUAACGGCUUACCAAGGCAACGAUGCGUAAGCGAGCUGAGAGGGGGAUCGGCCACACUGGAGCGGAGACACGGUCCAGGCUCCUACGGGAGGCAGCAGUAGGGAAUCGGCCGCAAUGGUCGAAAGCCUGACGGAGCAACGCCGCGUGAGUGAUGAAGGUCUUCGGAUCGUAAAACUCUGUUAUUAGGGAAGAACAAAUGUGUAAGUAACUAAGCACGUCUUGACGGUACCUAAUCAGAAAGCCACGGCUAACUACGUG
RNAcentral lists this ribosomal RNA (497 nucleotides) under uncultured bacterium. RNAcentral describes it as "partial 16S ribosomal RNA". It matches the Rfam family "Bacterial small subunit ribosomal RNA", at positions 28 to 507 of the family's 1533-position model. The record is from RNAcentral.